AGUGGAUGCGAGCAUCUUUGUGGUCAAGUUAUUAAGGGCACAUGGUGGAUGUCUUGGCUUCAGGAGCCGAUGAAGGACGUGGGAGGCUGCGAUAUGCCUCGGGGAGCUGUCAACCGAGCUGUGAUCCGAGGAUUUCCGAAUGGGGAAACCCAGCACCAGUUAUGUGGUGUUACCCGCAUCUGAAUAUAUAGGGUGUGUGGAGGGAACGCGGGGAAGUGAAACAUCUCAGUACCCGUAGGAAGAGAAAACAACCGUGAUUCCGUGAGUAGUGGCGAGCGAAAGCGGAAGAGGCUAAACCAUGCACAUGUCAAGCUGUCAGGCGUUGUGUGUGUGGUGUUGUGGGACCCGCCUUGGAAGAUCUGACAGUCUUCCGGGUUUACGCGUGUGUUAGUGGAACGCCUUGGGAUGGGCGACCGGAGUGGGUGAGAGUCCCGUACGCGAAAACACAUGUUAGUGAAUCUUGGUGGUGUUCCCGAGUAGCAGCGAGCUCGUGGAAUUUGCUGUGAAUCUGCCGGGACCACCCGGUAAGCCUAAAUACUUCCUGAAGACCGAUAGCGGACUAGUACCGUGAGGGAAAGAUGAAAAGUACCCCGGGAGGGGAGUGAAAGAGUACCUGAAACCGUGUGCCUACAAGCCGUCAGAGCCCGAGCACAUCCUUUGGAUGUUACGGUGAUGGCGUGCCUUUUGAAGAAUGAGCCUGCGAGUUAGUGCUGCGUGGCGAGGUUAACCCGUGUGGGGUAGCCGUAGCGAAAGCGAGUCUGAAUAGGGCGUCUGAGUCGCGUGGUCUAGACCCGAAGCGGAGUGAUCUACCCAUGGCCAGGCUGAAGCGUCGGUAAGACGACGUGGAGGGCCGAACCCACUUAGGUUGAAAACUGAGGGGAUGAGCUGUGGGUAGGGGUGAAAGGCCAAUCAAACUCCGUGAUAGCUGGUUCUCCCCGAAAUGCAUUUAGGUGCAGCGUCACAUGUUUCACCACGGGGGUAGAGCUACUGGAUGGUCUAGGGGCCUUACCGGGUUACCGAAAUCAACCAAACUCCGAAUACCGUGGUGUGAGAGUGUGGCAGUGAGACGGCGGGGGAUAAGCUUCGUCGUCGAGAGGGAAACAGCCCAGAACACCAGCUAAGGCCCCCAAGUGUGUGCUCAGUGGGAAAGGAUGUGGGAUUGCCCAGACAACCAGGAGGUUGGCUUAGAAGCAGCCACCCUUGAAAGAGUGCGUAAUAGCUCACUGGUCAAGUGGUCCUGCGCCGACAAUGUAGCGGGGCUUAAGCACACCGCCGAAGCUGUGUCAUUCAUGCAAUACAUCGGCUCAACUCCUUGAGGGUUGUGUCUAGUGGUGUGGAUGGGUAGGGGAGCGUCCUGCAUCCAGGGAAGCGGCGGCGGAAGCCAGUCGUGGAGGGUGUGGGAGUGAGAAUGCAGGCAUGAGUAGCGAAUGCAGAGUGAGAAACUCUGCCGCCGGAUGACCAAGGGUUCCUGGGCCAGGCUAAUCCGCCCAGGGUAAGUCGGGACCUAAGGCGAGGCCGACAGGCGUAGUCGAUGGAUAACGGGUUGAUAUUCCCGUACCCGAGCACGUGCGCCCAGGAUGAGGCGGUUGAUACUAACCACCCAAAGC
RNAcentral lists this ribosomal RNA (1607 nucleotides) under Amycolatopsis sp. BJA-103. RNAcentral describes it as "bacterial LSU rRNA". It matches the Rfam family "Bacterial large subunit ribosomal RNA", at positions 1 to 1496 of the family's 2925-position model. The record is from RNAcentral. Lineage: Bacteria; Bacillati; Actinomycetota; Actinomycetes; Pseudonocardiales; Pseudonocardiaceae.